CCUACGGGUGGCUGCAGUGAGGAAUAUUGGUCAAUGGGCGCGAGCCUGAACCAGCCAAGUCGCGUGAGGGAAGACGGUCCUAUGGAUUGUAAACUUCUUUUAUCGGGGAGUAAAAGUCGCCACGCGUGGCGUUCUGAGAGUACCCGAUGAAUAAGCAUCGGCUAACUCCGUGCCAGCAGCCGCGGUAAUACGGAGGAUGCGAGCGUUAUCCGGAUUUAUUGGGUUUAAAGGGUGCGCAGGCGGCAGAUAAAGUCAGCGGUAAAAUUGGGAGGCUCAACCUUAUCGAGCCGUUGAAACUGGUUGUCUUGAGUGAGUGUGAGGUAGGCGGAAUGCGUGGUGUAGCGGUGAAAUGCAUAGAUAUCACGCAGAACUCCGAUUGCGAAGGCAGCAUAC
This 393-nucleotide ribosomal RNA is filed under the name uncultured bacterium. RNAcentral's name for it is "partial 16S ribosomal RNA". It matches the Rfam family "Bacterial small subunit ribosomal RNA", at positions 338 to 729 of the family's 1533-position model. The record is from RNAcentral.